Molecule: ribosomal RNA, 166 nt
Filed under: Plumbago auriculata (Cape leadwort)
Lineage: Eukaryota; Viridiplantae; Streptophyta; Magnoliopsida; Caryophyllales; Plumbaginaceae
Description: 5.8S ribosomal RNA
Rfam family: 5.8S ribosomal RNA
About the family: 5.8S ribosomal RNA (5.8S rRNA) is a component of the large subunit of the eukaryotic ribosome. It is transcribed by RNA polymerase I as part of the 45S precursor that also contains 18S and 28S rRNA. Functionally, it is thought that 5.8S rRNA may be involved in ribosome translocation.
Source: RNAcentral
UAUUAACGACUCUCGACAACGGAUAUCUCGGCUCUCGCAUCGAUGAAGAACGUAGCGAAAUGCGAUACUUGGUGUGAAUUGCAGAAUCCCGUGAACCAUCGAGUCUUUGAACGCAAGUUGCGCCCGAAGCCUUCUGGCCGAGGGCACGUCUGCCUGGGCGUCAUGC